UAAGAGGUCCCGCCUGCCCUGUGAUCAUGAAUUUAACGGCCGCGGUAUUUUGACCGUGCAAAGGUAGCGCAAUCACUUGUCUUUUAAAUGGAGACCUGUAUGAAUGGCAUAACGAGGGCUUAACUGUCUCCCUUUUUUAGUCAAUGAAAUUGAUCUUCCCGUGCAGAAGCGGGAAUAAAAACAUAAGACGAGAAGACCCUGUGGAGCUUUAGACAAUAAAUAACACUCGUCAAAUACUCUUAACCAAAAAAUUGAACGAAAAGUGCUCUAUUUUGCUGUCUUUGGUUGGGGCGACCGCGGGGUAAAAAGAAACCCCCACGUGGCAUAGAAACACCCUUUCUUUAAUUAAGAGUGACAACCCUAAAUAUUAGAACAUCUAACCUACAAUGACCCGGCUCUGCUGCCGAUCAACGAAACUAGUUACCCCAGGGAUAACAGCGCAAUCCUUUCCCAGAGCCCAUAUCGACGAUAGGGUUUACGACCUCGAUGUUGGAUCAGGACAUCCUAAUGGUGCAGCAGCUAUUAAGGGUUCGUUUGUUCAACG
This 544-nucleotide ribosomal RNA is filed under the name Ecsenius bicolor (bicolor blenny). RNAcentral's name for it is "partial 16S large subunit ribosomal RNA". It matches the Rfam family "Bacterial large subunit ribosomal RNA", at positions 1846 to 2586 of the family's 2925-position model. Lineage: Eukaryota; Metazoa; Chordata; Actinopteri; Blenniiformes; Blenniidae. The record is from RNAcentral.